GAUGAAGAACGUAGCGAAAUGCGAUACGUAAUGUGAAUUGCAGAAUUCAGUGAAUCAUCGAGUCUUUGAACGCACAUUGCGCCCUCUGGUAUUCCGGAGGGCAUGCCUGUCCGAGCGUCAUUGCUGCCCUCAAGCACGGCUUGUGUGUUGGGCCCCGCCCCCCGAUCCCGGGGGGCGGGCCCGAAAGGCAGCGGCGGCACCGCGUCCGGUCCUCGAGCGUAUGGGGCUUUGUCACCCGCUCUGUAGGCCCGGCCGGCGCCUGCCGAUCAACCAAACUUUUUUCCAGGUUGACCUCGGAUCAGGUAGGGAUACCCGCUGAACUUAAGCAUAUCAAUAAGGGAGGA
RNAcentral lists this unclassified non-coding RNA (344 nucleotides) under soil metagenome. RNAcentral describes it as "partial contains 5.8S ribosomal RNA, internal transcribed spacer 2, and large subunit ribosomal RNA". The stretch from base 1 to 120 matches the Rfam family "5.8S ribosomal RNA", at positions 35 to 154 of the family's 154-position model. The record is from RNAcentral.